This is a small nucleolar RNA of Heterocephalus glaber (naked mole-rat), 86 nucleotides long. The record is from Ensembl. Lineage: Eukaryota; Metazoa; Chordata; Mammalia; Rodentia; Bathyergidae.
UCUCAGUGAUGGAAUCCCAGUAGAUCCUUCUGACCCUCCACUGUGGACUCGAAAGCAGGCAGAUGACGAGGACCGCGGCGGAGAGG